CAUGCAUCGCUCCAUCUCAGCGACUGAAAAUUUUAAAUUUAUCUCAUUUCAGAGGAAAAAACUGAGCCUCCCGCAAGUGCACUGUGACGAACCUCAGGCGCAGACAAGUUUUUGCGUAGUUUUUUUCUUCUUUUUUUUUGGUCCUUCAAUCGGGGCCCAUUUAGGAUGUGUUUCGUCUUUGAAUUUUUGCGCACUUGUGCGAUUUUUGCUCGUGAUGGUGGAACCUAAAGGACGUUGCGUUGCAAGCCGACUUUGAGAACCAGGACACAAAUUGUUUACAAGCGGUCAAUACACUGGGUCUCAUUGAGGCAAAGAUAUCCAAAUCGUCAUACUUUUAAGUGACCUUCAACCUUCAACAAAUGUAGGAUGCAGAAGCCCGAAACGUUAAUCUUGAGGGUGAUUACUGUUCUCUCGGUAUUCCACGAAGGUCUCGCAAUACUUCAGCCCAACAUGCUGUGCACCAAAGAUGACGCAACUGGUUUGGAUAGUUGCGAAUUCCUCUGCAGUUCCACGUGGGGCAAAGUCCCUUUGCUCAACGUCCCUUGGGCCCACGGGAAGUGCAAGAAUGAUGUUUGCGUUUGCAGUUUAAACGAAGCGGAUCUCAGUCAAUUUAUGCCAUGCCACUGGAUGUCCUCUGUGGUCUCUCUUGCAACCAAUAAGCGAAUGGCCGAAAAGCAAUAUCAGGUAGGCAGGAGUGCAUGAACACUGCAUUUUUUGAGGUAGAUAAUAUGGAUUGCAUUUUGCAAAAGGAACC
This 754-nucleotide long non-coding RNA is filed under the name Bemisia tabaci. RNAcentral describes it as "lncRNA ENSSSA2NGG007103". The record is from RNAcentral. Lineage: Eukaryota; Metazoa; Arthropoda; Insecta; Hemiptera; Aleyrodidae.